UCAGGCACCCUGACCCUAUUUGCUUCAUCCUCUCUGAUUGUCUUUUCUCAAGAUUUGCCUGCAGGAUGCAGAAAAGGCCAAUGGAUGGGAUGAUUGGAAAAUAACUCAUGGAUGAGAAAACUAAAGAGGAUUCUGAAAGGAUCUCUUUGCCUAUUAUCUGCUUUCAGAGAAAGUCACACAAAACUGUUGAAAAGUUAUCCUAUUCGUAAAGAUCUCUAGAGAGGGAGUGCCUACAAACGUUUCUAGUAAUUUCCCUUGGUGCAUACGAAGACUGCUCUUGAUGUUCAAAGAAGACUUCACUGAUGGCUAUGAUUCUUCUGUAUAAAAAAAAUAGAAUGGUUUUAUUUUUGAAAGCUGCUUGAUACCCAAUGCUGCCUGAAAGAGUCUAUCACGAAAGUGGCCAUGUGUUAGUUAACUUCUCUAGUUCAGCUUCGGACCACUGAAGAUUCAAAGCCAGCGUUGAGUCCUCCUAGCAGGGAUGUUGUUUCACAUGUGACCUCGGUUCCAGCCCAGUUCUUCACUCUGGUCCUCUUAUCAACCUGCCAUGCUACUGGCUUAAACCCAGAUGGUCCUUGUAAGGUGGCCGCUCUGCUGGACAUAGCUGGUUGUUCCUGAUGGUUACUACUUUGGAGCUACAAUUCUUCCUUUGGUCAUCUGUCCCAGGUGUAGAACAACAUUAUUUGUGUAAUUCUCUAUAGCACUGGCUGUAACUUUCAUCAAGAUUAUCAAAGAUUUGGGAUUCUUUGCUCUAUGUUUGUCCUUGAAGUCUGCAAACCAUGGAGCUUUCACAAAGCACACCCCAUAUAGACCCUGGUUUUCUUCCUGUGGUGGCCACAGUUCUCCGCCCAAGUGUCCUGGGGCCCAAAAUUCCCUAGGCCAAAGGAGAGAAAGAUAUUAACCCUCACGCCAAUCUCGGGUCUACAUAAUCCAACCCCAAACCUGCUUUUUUUCUAGGUAAUUAUCUUGUGAGAUUCAAGAACAAUUACGUCACUAUGUUACGACCUAAUAUCAAUAAUUUCCUGAAGUGUGGGUUUUUCAGUUUUAGGAAAUGCUAAGUAAAGGACCUUCUAUCAGGAAAAGUUCUUGCAGGAACUAACAGAACACAACUGGUUAGCUUAAACAGAAAAGAAAUUUGUUGGAAGGAGUGUAGGUGGCUCCCCAAAUCAGGCUUAGAAAACAGACAGUGACCUGUAGCGAUUAGGCUAAAGGAACAGCUGAGGUCCAGCUGCAGCUGAGAUCUGGCUAAGAAGGUGCCCUUGGAACAACCACCUCUGGACACUUGGUGUCAGCCAUCACUGCCAGACUCUCUGUUCCUUUUACCUUUAGAUCUGAAACUCGUGCCGUAUAGUAGAAAUUUCCACGACAAUGAAACUGUGUCUUUAUUACUCAACAACUAGCCGCUAGCCACAUGUGGCUAUUAAGCAUUUGAAAUGUGUCUGAAAAACUAAAUUUUUAAUCUCAUUUAAGUUUAAUUAAAAUGAACUUAAAUAGCCGCACGGGAUUAUUAGUUACCAUAUUGGACGGCACAGCUCUAAUCUCUCAGAGCCUAUUAUCUUGGGACUGUCAGCUUGAAUUUUCCCAGGAGUCACUCUUCCAGGUGUAAAAAGUGUUACCCAUACCUCUUUCCCUGGCUCCUAAAUCUCUGUAUUUAGCCUAUGUGAGAAAUGACACGAUACAGGUCAGUGGGUCGGUAUAGAGAGUACCCUCCCAAAAAGCAUUGUUCCUCAACCACCAGCCUAGGAUGGCUCAAUGGGUCCUUCCAUCAUCUGUCAAGGCCAGCAGCACCAGUGAUGGGGGUAAUGAUAAGAGUAGUGGAUUGAUGGGGCGCCUGGGUGGCUCAGUCGUUAAGCGUCUGCCUUCAGCUCAGGUCAUGAUCCCAGAGUCCUGGGAUCGAGCCCCGCAUCGGGCUCCCUGCUCCGCAGGAAGCCUGCUUCUCCCUCUCCCACUCCCCCUGCUUGUGUUCCCUCUCUCGCUG
This is a long non-coding RNA of Mirounga angustirostris (Northern elephant seal), 1975 nucleotides long. RefSeq lists it as uncharacterized. The transcript has 3 exons. The record is from RefSeq and is a predicted model, not a curated record. NCBI's taxonomy places the organism in Eukaryota, Metazoa, Chordata, Mammalia, Carnivora, Phocidae.